AAUAUUGGACAAUGGGGGCAACCCUGAUCCAGCCAUGCCGCGUGUGUGAAGAAGGUCUUCGGAUUGUAAAGCUCUGUCCUUGGGGAAGAUAAUGACGGUACCCAAGAAGAAAGCCCCGGCUAACUACGUGCCAGCAGCCGCUGUAAUACGUAGGGGGCAAGCGUUGUCCGGAAUUAUUGGGCGUAAAGGGCGUGUAGGCGGUUAAUUAAGUCCGGUGUGAAAUCUUGGGGCUCAACCCUGGGACUGCACCUGAAACUGAUUAACUUGAGGGCAAGAGAGGAAAGCGGAAUUCCUAGUGUAGCGGUGAAAUGCGUAGAUAUUAGGAGGAACACCAGUGGCGAAGGCGGCUUUCUGGCUUGACCCUGACGCUGAGGCGCGAAAGCGUGGGGAGCAAAC
RNAcentral lists this ribosomal RNA (396 nucleotides) under uncultured bacterium. RNAcentral's name for it is "partial 16S ribosomal RNA". It matches the Rfam family "Bacterial small subunit ribosomal RNA", at positions 360 to 773 of the family's 1533-position model. The record is from RNAcentral.